GGGCAGUAGGAAACUUUCUGAGACACACCUUUAAAAUUAGUUAUAAUGUGUGCUAUGUUUACAGAUCUUAGUUUUGAAGACCAACAACACAACAAUACUUCCAGAUCUCCAUCUAACCUCUGCUUAUUUGAGAGGGGCUUUGUAUUUUCAACAGGAGAGUUCAAAGUUCAUUUUUUUUCCAGCAACUAUAGUUCUAAGUGAAAUAAUCUAUUGUUAUUGAGACGUGAUAUUUUACAUAUUUAUGGGAUACCCAUGAGUCAUGAUCUAUUUUAAGUAAUACCUUAGUGUUGUAAAAUCAGCAGUACUUUUAAAAAUAAAUGUACGUUGUUAAUUAUCCCACUUGUGUCAUCAGAACUACAGCUUGAACAAGUCCACCUUCCAUGGACCAAGCACCACCCUGCACAUUUCUAGCAUGAGCAAAAUCCAAGGUCCUGGCUGGACUCCAGAGAUGCUGUUUACCUCAGAAGUAUGACAAUAGGAGGCAGAAGAAGCAGGCAAAUCCAACUUCUUUCUUGCAGUUUUCUUGGUUGGGGAGGAAAAGUUGAAUUUUACUAUUAUGGAGAAGAAACAGGAAAUAGAGACAGGCCAAGCACAUCUGCAAAAAAGAUAUUGCUGGAGGAGGUGCAAGAGCUGGAAACCAAGUUUCCUGUCCUGGGAAAAGCAGUGGUGUGGAAGAGCAGUGGAAAGAGGAUUUAAUAAAUCGUCAUGUGCUAGGAGCUGUGCCUGGGAGCUGGCAGUAUGGAGUUGAUGAAGGAUAGGCUAAUGUGGAUGGGAAAGGUAUAAGUAAAUUUUACUGUAUAAAAAUAAAUUUUGUAGAAGAAUAUAUAAAGUGUUGGGGGGGACAUAGAGGAGGAAGAAUUUGCAUCCUUAUUUUUAAGUUAAUGUUUUUAUUUC
RNAcentral lists this long non-coding RNA (894 nucleotides) under Rhinopithecus roxellana (golden snub-nosed monkey). RNAcentral describes it as "lncRNA (ENSRROG00000045941.1)". The record is from RNAcentral. Lineage: Eukaryota; Metazoa; Chordata; Mammalia; Primates; Cercopithecidae.